UGCCAGCCGCCGCGGUAAUACAGAGGCCUCGAGCGUUGCGCGGAAUCACUGGGCUUAAAGGGUGCGUAGGCGGAUACACAAGUGCCUUGUGAAAUCCCCGGGCUCAACCCGGGAACUGCUUGGUAGACUGUGUGUCUUGAGGUCGGUAGGGGUCGCUGGAACAGUUGGUGGAGCGGUGAAAUGCGUAGAUAUCAACUGGAACGCCAAAGGCGAAGGCAAGCGACUGGGCCGAUUCUGACGCUGAGGCACGAAAGCGUGGGGAGCAAACGGGAUUAGAUA
RNAcentral lists this ribosomal RNA (279 nucleotides) under uncultured bacterium. Its description in RNAcentral is "partial 16S ribosomal RNA". It matches the Rfam family "Bacterial small subunit ribosomal RNA", at positions 506 to 784 of the family's 1533-position model. The record is from RNAcentral.